This 1134-nucleotide ribosomal RNA is filed under the name Aeromonas hydrophila. Its description in RNAcentral is "partial 23S ribosomal RNA". It matches the Rfam family "Bacterial large subunit ribosomal RNA", at positions 1 to 1187 of the family's 2925-position model. Lineage: Bacteria; Pseudomonadati; Pseudomonadota; Gammaproteobacteria; Aeromonadales; Aeromonadaceae. The record is from RNAcentral.
GGUUAAGUGACUAAGCGUACAUGGUGGAUGCCUUGGCAGUCAGAGGCGAUGAAGGACGUACUAACCUGCGAUAAGCCGUGAGCAGUCGGUAAGAGACAUUACGACUCACGGAUUUCCGAAUGGGGAAACCCACUUAGCAUAAGCUAGGUAUCGCUGCGUGAAUACAUAGCGUAGCGAGGCGAACCGGGAGAACUGAAACAUCUAAGUACCCCGAGGAAAAGAAAUCAACCGAGAUUCCCUCAGUAGCGGCGAGCGAACGGGGAUUAGCCCUUAAGCAUCUUGGAAGUUAGUGGAACGGUCCUGGAAAGGCCGGCGAUACAGGGUGAUAGCCCCGUACACGAAAACAACCUUGAUGUGAAAUCGAGUAGGGCGGGACACGUGACAUCCUGUCUGAAUAUGGGGGGACCAUCCUCCAAGGCUAAAUACUCCUGACUGACCGAUAGUGAACCAGUACCGUGAGGGAAAGGCGAAAAGAACCCCUGUGAGGGGAGUGAAAUAGAACCUGAAACCGUGUACGUACAAGCAGUGGGAGCCCUUCGGGGUGACUGCGUACCUUUUGUAUAAUGGGUCAGCGACUUACAUUUUGUAGCGAGGUUAACCGUAUAGGGGAGCCGUAGGGAAACCGAGUCUUAACUGGGCGUCUAGUUGCAAGGUGUAGACCCGAAACCGGGUGAUCUAGCCAUGGGCAGGUUGAAGGUUGAGUAACAUCAACUGGAGGACCGAACCCACUAACGUUGCAAAGUUAGGGGAUGACCUGUGGCUGGGGGUGAAAGGCCAAUCAAACUCGGAGAUAGCUGGUUCUCCCCGAAAGCUAUUUAGGUAGCGCCUCGGACGAAUACUACUGGGGGUAGAGCACUGUUUGGGCUAGGGGGUCAUCCCGACUUACCAACCCCAUGCAAACUCCGAAUACCAGUAAGUACUAUCCGGGAGACACACGGCGGGUGCUAACGUCCGUCGUGAAGAGGGAAACAACCCAGACCGCCGGCUAAGGUCCCAAAGUUCUGGUUAAGUGGGAAACGAUGUGGGAAGGCUCAGACAGCUAGGAUGUUGGCUUAGAAGCAGCCAUCAUUUAAAGAAAGCGUAAUAGCUCACUAGUCGAGUCGGCCUGCGCGGAAGAUGUAACGGGGCUCAAAC